AGAGUUUGAUCCUGGCUCAGAUUGAACGCUGGCGGCAGGCCUAACACAUGCAAGUCGAGCGGAAACGAGUUAUCUGAACCUUCGGGGGACGAUAACGGCGUCGAGCGGCGGACGGGUGAGUAAUGCCUAGGAAAUUGCCCUGGUGUGGGGGAUAACCAUUGGAAACGAUGGCUGAUACCGCAUAAUACCUACGGGUCAAAGAGGGGGACCUUCGGGCCUCUCGCGUCAGGAUAUGCCUAGGUGGGAUUAGCUAGUUGGUGAGGUAAUGGCUCACCAAGGCGACGAUCCCUAGCUGGUCUGAGAGGAUGAUCAGCCACACUGGAACUGAGACACGGUCCAGACUCCUACGGGAGGCAGCAGUGGGGAAUAUUGCACAAUGGGCGCAAGCCUGAUGCAGCCAUGCCGCGUGUGUGAAGAAGGCCUUCGGGUUGUAAAGCACUUUCAGUCGUGAGGAAGGUAGUGUAGUUAAUAGCUGCAUUAUUUGACGUUAGCGACAGAAGAAGCACCGGCUAACUCCGUGCCAGCAGCCGCGGUAAU
RNAcentral lists this ribosomal RNA (537 nucleotides) under uncultured bacterium. Its description in RNAcentral is "bacterial SSU rRNA". It matches the Rfam family "Bacterial small subunit ribosomal RNA", at positions 8 to 524 of the family's 1533-position model. The record is from RNAcentral.